AGGAUAUGGAAAAUUUCAGACUGCUAGAA
Molecule: non-coding RNA, 29 nt
Filed under: Cricetulus griseus (Chinese hamster)
Lineage: Eukaryota; Metazoa; Chordata; Mammalia; Rodentia; Cricetidae
Source: RNAcentral